AUUGAACGCUGGCGGCAUGCCUUACACAUGCAAGUCGAACGGCAGCACGGGGGCAACCCUGGUGGCGAGUGGCGAACGGGUGAGUAAUACAUCGGAACGUGUCCUGUCGUGGGGGAUAACCAGUCGAAAGACUGGCUAAUACCGCAUGAGAUCGAGAGAUGAAAGCAGGGGACCCGGGGGCAACCUCAGGCCUUGCGCGAUUGGAGCGGCCGAUGUCGGAUUAGCUUGUUGGCGGGGUAAAAGCCCACCAAGGCGACGAUCCGUAGCUGGUUUGAGAGAACGACCAGCCACACUGGGACUGAGACACGGCCCAGACUCCUACGGGAGGCAGCAGUGGGGAAUUUUGGACAAUGGGGGCAACCCUGAUCCAGCCGUGCCGCGUGUGUGAAGAAGG
RNAcentral lists this ribosomal RNA (394 nucleotides) under uncultured bacterium. Its description in RNAcentral is "bacterial SSU rRNA". It matches the Rfam family "Bacterial small subunit ribosomal RNA", at positions 29 to 414 of the family's 1533-position model. The record is from RNAcentral.